Molecule: ribosomal RNA, 467 nt
Filed under: uncultured bacterium
Lineage: Bacteria
Description: partial 16S ribosomal RNA
Rfam family: Bacterial small subunit ribosomal RNA (bases 13-373)
Source: RNAcentral
GACGAACGCUGGCGGCGUGCUUAACACAUGCAAGUCGAACGGAAAGGCCCUGCUUUUGUGGGGUGCUCGAGUGGCGAACGGGUGAGUAACACGUGAGUAACCUGCCCUUGACUUUGGGAUAACUUCAGGAAACUGGGGCUAAUACCGGAUAGGAGCUCCUGCUGCAUGGUGGGGGUUGUAAAGUUUCGGCGGUUGGGGAUGGACUCGCGGCUUAUCAGCUUGUUGGUGGGGUAGUGGCUUACCAAGGCUUUGACGGGUAGCCGGCCUGAGAGGGUGACCGGCAAAAGGGGGAAGAGGGAGGGGCCAGGACGCAAAGGGGAGGAAAGGGGGGGGAAAAUGCCAAAAAGGGCGGAAGGAGGGAGGAAGAACGCCGGGGGGGGAAAGAGGGCGUUGGGGUAGGAAACCGUUUGUGAGUGAGAAGGAGCGGGGGGAAGGGAAAUGGGGAAAGAAGCACGGGUAAAUAAGGG